GAGGGAAAGGCGAAAAGAACCCCGGCGAGGGGAGUGAAAAAGAACCUGAAACCGUGUACGUACAAGCAGUGGGAGCCCCACCACCAAAGCAUUUGCUGUACCGUGUUGACGGAGCGAAGCGACGUCAAACCGAUAAAACAGCAGUGUAAAGUGAGCCGCAGGGCGCUUUGCGCGACAGCGCAAAGGCAGGCGGUUUCGCGUAGCGAAAGCGAAUGCUUUGGGGUGGGGUGACUGCGUACCUUUUGUAUAAUGGGUCAGCGACUUAUAUUCUGUAGCAAGGUUAACCGAAUAGGGGAGCCGGAGGGAAACCGAGUCUUAA
RNAcentral lists this ribosomal RNA (319 nucleotides) under Salmonella enterica subsp. enterica serovar Heidelberg. RNAcentral describes it as "bacterial LSU rRNA". It matches the Rfam family "Bacterial large subunit ribosomal RNA", at positions 505 to 687 of the family's 2925-position model. Lineage: Bacteria; Pseudomonadati; Pseudomonadota; Gammaproteobacteria; Enterobacterales; Enterobacteriaceae. The record is from RNAcentral.